UGGGUUUGACAUGCACAGGACGCUGGUAGAGAUAUCAGUUCCCUUGUGGCCUGUGUGCAGGUGGUGCAUGGCUGUCGUCAGCUCGUGUCGUGAGAUGUUGGGUUAAGUCCCGCAACGAGCGCAACCCUCACCUUCAGUUGCCAUCAUUUAGUUGGGCACUCUGAAGGAACUGCCGGUGACAAGCCGGAGGAAGGUGGGGAUGACGUCAAGUCCUCAUGGCCCUUACGCGCUGGGCUACACACGUGCUACAAUGGUGGUGACAAUGGGUCGCAAGCGUGCGAACGCAAGCUAAUCUCCAAAAGCCAUCUCAGUUCGGAUUGCACUCUGCAACUCGAGUGCAUGAAGUCGGAAUCGCUAGUAAUCGUGGAUCAGCAUGCCACGGUGAAUACGUUCCC
RNAcentral lists this ribosomal RNA (395 nucleotides) under uncultured Alphaproteobacteria bacterium. RNAcentral describes it as "bacterial SSU rRNA". It matches the Rfam family "Bacterial small subunit ribosomal RNA", at positions 976 to 1375 of the family's 1533-position model. The record is from RNAcentral. Lineage: Bacteria; Pseudomonadati; Pseudomonadota; Alphaproteobacteria.